AUUGAACGCUGGCGGCAUGCCUUACACAUGCAAGUCGAACGGCAGCACGGGUGCUUGCACCUGGUGGCGAGUGGCGAACGGGUGAGUAAUAUAUCGGAACAUACCCUAGAGUGGGGGGAUAACGUAGCGAAAGUUACGCUAAUACCGCAUACGAACUAAGGUUGAAAGUGGGGGAUCGCAAGACCUCAUGCUCAUGGAGUGGCCGAUAUCUGAUUAGUUAGUUGGUGAGGUAAAGGCUCACCAAGGCGACGAUCAGUAGCUGGUUUGAGAGAACGACCAGCCACACUGGAACUGAGACACGGUCCAGACUCCUACGGGAGGCAGCAGUGGGGAAUUUUGGACAAUGGGGGCAACCCUGAUCCAGCAAUGCCGCGUGAGUGAAGAAGGCCCUCGGGUUGUAAAGCUCUUUUUGUCAGGGGAAGAAACGGGUCUACUCUAAUACAGUGGGCUAAUGACGGUACCUGAAGAAUAAGCACCGGCUAACUACGUGCCAGCAGCCGCGGUAAUC
This 508-nucleotide ribosomal RNA is filed under the name uncultured bacterium. RNAcentral's name for it is "bacterial SSU rRNA". It matches the Rfam family "Bacterial small subunit ribosomal RNA", at positions 30 to 525 of the family's 1533-position model. The record is from RNAcentral.